Molecule: long non-coding RNA, 672 nt
Organism: Apis mellifera (honey bee)
Lineage: Eukaryota; Metazoa; Arthropoda; Insecta; Hymenoptera; Apidae
Exons: 2
Source: RefSeq, a predicted model, not a curated record
AUAUUAUUAUAGCAUAUUAUUAAAGGUAGAGUAUUGAUAAAAUUUUUUAUAAUUAGUAUUUGUAGAACCGUAUAUUAUUAAUUUUAACUUCACAGGAUAUCUAUAUAAUAAUUAAAUUCUAAGAAACACAUAAUAAUAUCAGAUGCAGUUAACGCGGUCAUUAUAAUAGAAAUAUUUAACGUAACAAUAAAUUAAAAAUGAAUGAACAGAUCUUGAUGAUUAAACGAUAGUAUAGAACUGAUCCAAUAAAAGUAUACAUUUUCGGAAAUAAAAUAAUAUUAAAAAGAAAAAAUCAGUUCUUAAUUUCAGAAAAAAAAGAGAGAAGAAAAAAAAUCGUAAAGAUAGAACAUAUGUAAGUAAAUUUUAUUCAAUUUAAUGGUAUGAAGUUGCCAACAAAGAAAACUAAUAGUCAAAUGUUCAAUAUAUUUUAAAAUAAUUUUUUCUUUUUAUGAACUUUUAAUAAGAUUUUUAAUAUUAAUUUUUUAUAAGAAUUGGGUAAUAACGUACCCAAAUAUAUUAUUUAUUAAAUUUGUAUAAUGAUAAAUCGAGGAAAUAAUAACAAUUAUGUGUCAAGCUUUUAAUAUUAUGCAAGAUAAUACUGAAAUGCAAAAAACCAACCAUGGACAUUUUGGUUGGUUAUACAAGGUUCGUUAAUUAAGUUAUUAUUUGUAA